This is a long non-coding RNA of Bos taurus (domestic cattle), 4977 nucleotides long. The record is from Ensembl. Lineage: Eukaryota; Metazoa; Chordata; Mammalia; Artiodactyla; Bovidae.
GCAAGAAUACUGGAGUGGUUGCCAUUUCCUUCUCCAGGGGAUCUUCCCAACCCAGGGAUUGAACCCACAUCUCUUAUGUCUCCUGCAUUGGCAAGGAGGUUCUUUAUGCCACUAGGUCCACCUGGGAAGCCCACUAAAUGAGCUAAGACUGCGGCAAAUUAACCCAGGAAAGCACACGCAUUCCCUAAUUGGAGAGGCCUUCCGCAAACACCCUCAGAGGCCCAGGCGCAAGCUUCCGCCGCCAGUCUGUCCGCUCUCAGGCCGGGGUAGGGGGACACGCGCGAGGUUCGGCUGUGCCCACGGUCCAGCCACUGCACAAGCCGGCCGUCUCCCAGAGUUCUGAGUAAUCGCCGGAAGCCCGGCCAGAAUCAAAGCGGACGCGAAGCAUCCACCCAGCUGGAAGAGCCGCCGCCGCCGGGGAAGCAGGAAUCUCCCAGAUACCCAGUGUGGGGGCGCUCCCGAGCCCUCGGGGUCCCCCGGCGGCCUCCUGGAGCCUGGAGCUCAGGCGGAGAGAUGCAGGGACGGCGGGAGGCCGGAGGCAGCCGUGGUCAGGGAAGCGAGGGGACCAGAAGGACCACCGGAGGUGUCCGGGCGGAAGGGCCGCGGGGCUGGGGUCGCCCCGGUCCCCGCCGCACCCUGGGGACCCCGGCCCGCUUGGUUUGGGCCUCAAAGACCUCCACUGAUGAAUGCUCUCUGUGAAGCAAACUGCAUUUUUGCCUUCAACUUAUUAAAAAUGUUGGCUGAAGAGGACCACUCGUGACACGUGUUCUUCUCUCUGCUGAGCCUCUCCUUUGUCCUGACCAUGGUCUUAAUGGGGGCUGAGGGGAACACGGUGGCCCAGAUGUCCCAGGCAAGAAUACUGGAGUUCGUUGCCAUUUCCUUCUCCAGGAGAUCUUCCCGACCCAGGGAUUGAACUCAGGUCUCCUGCAUUGUAGGCAGACACUUUACCAUCUGAGCCACCAGGGAAAUGUGACCCUCAAAUAUAUGGCCAGCUGACUUUCAACCAGCAUCCUGAAAGGAUAGUCUUUUCAACAAGUGGUGGUGGAACAACUAGAGAGCCGAGCACCAAAGUUGUCUGGCCAUCUGGUCGACCUUUCGGCGGUGCUUGCCUGACUACAACCAAACAUGAACACAAAUCUGGAUCGCAGGGCAGAGAAGGCAGAGCACCACCACUCCGCACUCGUUUCUCUUACCUAAGUGUUCUCCCGUCCGCGCGCGUUCAGACGCCCUUCCAGGACUACACACCGCGCCAGGCUCGCGUCUCCUUGGUACCCUCAGUGGAGGGCCCGGGCCGUUUUCUGGAUCUCAAACAUUUGGCGCCUCUGACCACCGAUCCCGUGCAGGACUAAAGCCGCGCAUUGGGCCACCUCCUUGCUCGCCCACCGCGUUCCCUGUUGUCACCCGUGGCGAGGGACUCGUGUGUGGCUCACACAACUUUCGAGCCCGUAAGGGGAACAGAAGAGACUACAGGCGGCCCCCGCGAUGACGCAGCACGGCUUCCGACGAACGCAGAGCUUGAUACGACAGCGGCCGUCGGAGAGCAGCUCCCCCGCCGCCCAGCCCUGGUGCGGACCUGGGCCCCCAGGCGAUCAGGACGUGGGGUUGGGAGAGCCUAGCCUGGGGAUCGCGGUGCCGCUGGGAGGGCCGGGCGCGCAGCCCAGCGCCGCCUUGUUCCGCGUGUCCGGCCACGCUCCACUCCGGGGAAGACGCCCGGGAUCCAGGGACGGCCGGCGUGAACCCUGCGCCGUCCGCCGACGGAGACACGGCUACUCCCAGCCGAGGCGGGAAAACAAAAAAUACUGAUCCAGGACACCGCGCGGGGCACUUUACUCUCCUGGCUGCGAGCCGUACCCCAUGCAGCCCCGCGGGCGGAGGAAACGUCCGGAUCGCCGACUAGCUUCUAAAGACACGGCCCGUGCUCGCCACGCAAGCCUGACCGUUCGAGGGAGCAGGACGCGUCCAGGCCCGGAGACGGGGCCCAGGCGCGCCAGCCAACGAGCCCUGCGAGCCCAUACUCGUCCGGUCUGGCCAAGCACCAGAGCCUGGAGAGUGGGGACCCCGGAGGGAGACGAAGGCCCCUAACGGUGACCCAGGAGUUUGGCCGACGAGCCACAGGCACUCCGGCGCCGCAGACCCUUUCUCUGCUCGCUCCGAGGCCCCGCGGAUGUAAGGCCGCGAGGAGAUGCUGGUCGACCAGAGCGAGCGACAACCCGCCCUCAAAGGCCACAGCGCCAGGCCGCUUCACGAAAACCUGCAGACCCAGUCUUCAGCAGGAGCAGGCAUGCCCAGGUCUCCGCAGCACCAUGGUUAUUGCCACCAGUGCUGCCGGCCUCUGGAGCUCUGCGCCGUCUUCUCCGGCUGAGUCUCAGCCCUUAUGAAGGUCGCCGAAGGAAAGGAACGCUCUGAAAGCGGCCGCCAGGGGCGCCCGACAACCGGUUCGAGUGUCCUCAGGACGAGUUGCCGGCAGGCCGCAGCGGCGCCGAACGCCCUAACGCCCGAGCUCGCCCGGGGCCUCUGCCUCGGAGGGGGCUCCCCGCUCGGGACAGCGCGACGCGGCUUCGCGGAGCGGCCCAGGCGGCAGACGAGGGCGGGCGGAGAGCGGAAGGCUGCGGCGGAGAGGCCCUCCCCGCGAGACUGCAGGGCCGCAGGCCAACCUGAGCAAGGGAGAUUCUGCAGGGGGCUGGGCUGUGUGAACUGUGAGCUGGAACAGUGAAAGUAAAACAGAAAGCAAGCAAGCACGGAAGACAUCUUAUUCUGUCAUUUCAGAGUUGAGAUGUUACUCAAGUAUAAAAAUACAAGGCUCAGAAGCCAUAAAGGAAACGACUGAAAACUUGACUAUGUAAUUGGUCUUUUAGUCUUUACCAAGCAAAGGCAGGUGACAAGAAACGGGUGUGUGAGAACGUUUGUGCGACUACAUAUAUAUUAAGAACGUUGGUAUCAGCAUUACAUAAUAACAGAAUGUAGAAAACACGGCAAGGGACCAGUUAAGUAAAUUUUCAGUGCAUUCACAUAACACAAGACUAUCACUUUGCUUUUUGGUUUAUUGCUGUUGUUUAAAUGAGUUAGAUCCAUAGGUAUUGACUUGGAAAAAUGUCGAUGGCAAACUGUCAAAUGAAAACAAAGUUUUAGCACUUACUACUGGAAGUGCUUUUUAAAAAAUGAAGCGGAAAAAUGAAGAGUUAGAAUAGCUAAAGCGGUUUUAAAGAGCAAGAAUCAAGUCUGCCCUAUAGCCUGGUGUCUGGACAGAAAGACGUGCCAGAAACAAAGAUGGGCCACACUACGUGCUUCUCUGCUCCCUCCUACUAUAGUCUUGGGAAGGCAGCUGGCAUCUCAGCCCCUGCACCUCUCUGCUCCACUAACACUCAGAGCCCCUGCAGGCAAUCAGAACUCUGACUCUGCAGGCCUGGGGUCCCUAUGUCUACAGUCUCUUCCUUCAUGUCAGGAGCCUCGAGCAAUUCACUUGGUUUGCCCAAUCAUCCAUGCCCAGAGCUGCUGGCUCUAACAUACACCUGUGCAGUCCUUCUCUCCAUAAGCUUUGAGCUGAUAUCCCAAGGUAAGACCAUUCCCCUCACAAAACAGGUAUGAACCACGGGAACAACUGGAAGUUUGCACCUGGACCCAUUAUACAAACUCUGUGUGCACACUCUACUCCCAAAGACACUACCCUUUUCACUGUGCUGUUUGCAUGGUAUGGCCAUUGCUUACUAGAAGCAUCCAGACUCACUUAUGUGGCAGGAAGAAAUACUAAGUACACACACACGCAUGCACACACACCCAUGUACAAACACAGAGGCACACACACACCCCAGGAGCUUAUCUGGACUCCUGCUAGGGCUGGCAAUGGUGGGAGCAGAAAAGACAUCAUUGUUGCUGCUUCUCGGGUCCUCUGCGCUGGCAGACCCUGGUUGCUUUGCUGACUUCACUGUGGAGAGUGAGGGCUUGGAGCGCCCUAGUCUGCAGUUUGCUGUCCAGCGCCCUGUGCUUUAUUCAGUCCACUCUACCCUCUCUCCUCAAUGCACAGUCACCAUUAAAAAUAAGAAUGGACACACAUUGAUUUCAAUUUUCAAACUUGAACAAAGUUUAAGAACAGAGAGAAAUUGGGUUAUUGUGAAGAAGGUAGUGAGGAAAUUUUAUUUAUCUUUUUUGCAGCUACCAAAAUGUUCAAAUAUAGUCUAUAAAAGCUUAAUAUUUUUUAAAACUAGGAAAAGUAAAUAAUCCCUCAUUACUCCUUCUUGCCCAUCACCAUCUCUGCCCCAGCUUGUGUCACAGUGGGCUCACCUGACGACAUGCCUGUUCUCCUGGUUUGGAGACUUCUUUCACACUCAUCACUAUCCUCUAUGCUCACUACACACCUGAGGCCACUGUAGCCAUCCACAUGGUAAAUCAGGGGAUUUUUCUCUAGUGAGCCUGAGGGUUUGUUUUUUUUUCUUCUAAUAGAAACCUCUCCCAUCUGUCCUCUAAAGUCACAACCUUUAUGGAUCCUGUAACAAGUGGGUGUGAAUGACAGAAAGAGGCUGUUUCCAUAUCAGUCUCUGAGCUGCCAUAUGCCUAACAGAGUGGUGGAUGUUACUGGCAUUAAUAUUUCCUGGGUGGUGUUAGAAGAUCCAGGCUGAAAGGAGAAACCAGACAAUUUGGCAAGACACAGAUCAAACCAGGAGCCAGAGCAAGUCCCUCUCAUUGUUUCAAGGUCAAGAACUCAGCCACCACUGUCCUUCUCUGCAUCCUCAUGCAGGACGGUUGAAACUGACCAGAUAAAGCUGAGGAGAUGGAAAGAAGUCAUGAGAUCCAAGCCUCUAAAGCCCUGCUAGAUACUCCAGGCAUAAGUCCCCAACCACUCACCUGGGUGUGACCCCUCCUACCAAACCACAGGCAUGCAGAGAUAUGGGGAACCCUCCUUUCUGGGGUCAAAGCAGUAUGGGCUACUCGCCACAUAAACAACGUAGUAAUAUUUCCAUUUUACGCAGAAAAAAAAUGAAA